This 819-nucleotide ribosomal RNA is filed under the name Triticum aestivum (bread wheat). RNAcentral describes it as "partial small subunit ribosomal RNA". Lineage: Eukaryota; Viridiplantae; Streptophyta; Magnoliopsida; Poales; Poaceae. The record is from RNAcentral.
AUGGCCGGCUCUCUGGAGGAACUGGUGUUAUCCAGCAACAAUUUCAGUGGGAAGAUACCGACGGGCUUGUUCCGGCAUGGAAAUCUCACUCUGCUGGACCUGAGCGACAACAACCUCACUGGUGAUGUGCCCGAUGAGUUCCUCAAGCUCCCCAACCUCCACACCCUGCUCCUCGCCGGCAACGAUCUCCGCGGCGCGAUACCCGGAAGCUUGUCGAGCGUGACAACAUUGUCUCGUUUCGCGGCUGGCCACAACAAGUUCAGUGGCUCCAUAUAUUUACCCUGGCAACUGGGCAAAUGCAGUAAGCUGCUUCUCUUGAAUCUUGCAAGCAAUGAGCUGAGCGGUGCGGUGCCCGCCGAGAUCGGCAAACUCGGUAGCCUGGCCGUUCUUAAGCUCCAAAUGAACAAUUUUGACGGCCAUAUACCAAGUGCACUUGCCGGUCUGGUGAACCUGAAUGAAUUGGACCUUAGCCAGAACUCAUUUGACGGAGAGAUACCACAUGAGAUUUUCCAGCUACCGCGGCUUUCAAACAUGUACUUGCAGGGGAACAAGAUCACCGGCGCCAUUCCGGCUUCGGUCAGCUCAGCGCAGUUUCUCAUCGAGCUUGAUCUCGGGGACAAUUCGCUCAGUGGUGUCAUCCCCACAAUGCCGAUCAGCUUGAGCACGGUCCUCAAUCUAAGUCACAACCAUCUCGGUGGCUCCAUCCCUUCGGACAUCGGAUCGUUGCUUUACCUCAAGGUCCUUGAUCUUUCCCACAACGAAUUGUUCGUCGUCGCUCAAAGGUUUGUUGAGCUUGACACGUUUGGUGAUUUCCUAUAA